RNAcentral lists this ribosomal RNA (253 nucleotides) under uncultured bacterium. Its description in RNAcentral is "partial 16S ribosomal RNA". It matches the Rfam family "Bacterial small subunit ribosomal RNA", at positions 524 to 776 of the family's 1533-position model. The record is from RNAcentral.
UACGGAGGGUGCAAGCGUUAUCCGGAUUUACUGGGUUUAAAGGGUGCGUAGGUGGGUCUGUAAGUCAGUGGUGAAAUCUCCGAGCUUAACUCGGAAACUGCCAUUGAUACUAUCAUUCUUGAAUAUUGUGGAGGUCAGCGGAAUAUGUCAUGUAGCGGUGAAAUGCUUAGAUAUGACAUAGAACACCAAUUGCGAAGGCAGCUGGCUACACAUAUAUUGACACUGAGGCACGAAAGCGUGGGGAUCAAACAGG